CACGUAGUUAGCCGUGGCUUAUUCGUCAGGUACCGUCAUUUGCUUCGUCCCUGACAAAAGAAGUUUACAACCCGAAAGCCUUCUUCCUUCACGCGGCGUUGCUGGGUCAGGCUUGCGCCCAUUGCCCAAUAUUCCCCACUGCUGCCUCCCGUAGGAGUCUGGGCCGUGUCUCAGUCCCAAUGUGGCCGGCCAACCUCUCAGUCCGGCUACUGAUCGUCGCCUUGGUGGGCCGUUGCCCCACCAACUAGCUAAUCAGACGCGAGUCCAUCCCAGAGCGAUAAAUCUUUGGCAGUCAGAGCCAUGCGACCCAACUGCAUCAUGCGGUAUUAGCAGCUGUUUCCAGCUGUUAUUCCCCACUCCAGGGCAGGUUACUCACGCGUUACUCACCCGUCCGCCACUAGGUAACCUCAUCCAUUGGACGAAUCCUCUGUCAAAGGCACCCCGUUCGACUUGCAUGUGUUAAGCACGCCGCCAGCGUUCAUCCUGAGCCAGGA
This 494-nucleotide ribosomal RNA is filed under the name uncultured Oscillospiraceae bacterium. RNAcentral describes it as "partial 16S ribosomal RNA". Lineage: Bacteria; Bacillati; Bacillota; Clostridia; Eubacteriales; Oscillospiraceae. The record is from RNAcentral.